AGUGAAGAAGAAGCAGGAAGAGCGCCAUCUUUAAUGAGCCAUCAGCAGAUACCAUAUGCCAGAUACUGUCAGCUCUCUGAGACCAGCAAGAUUGAAGACAGUCUCUCAGAAAUGAGUCUGUAACCCCAGAGGAGACUUCACCAGUGAAAAUCAAUCCUUGAGAUGAUUGCUGCAGUUCUUAAAUAAGAAGCAUUCUUUUCUUUUGAACUCCAAACUGUAAGAAUGAUGUAAGCAAUGCUUACACAAUAUAAAGAGAUCCUGACCAAUAAUGAAAGAAGUAGAAGAAGGAGUAAAGUGAAAAGCUAAAGUGGAAGAGAGAGAAAGAGAAAGAGAUGGAGAGACUUGAUGGUACCCAGCCCUUAGAACGCUCUCUGAAAUCUAAUCCUAUUUUCCGAGGGACAUGUAACCUCUCAAAUUGAGAGAAGGGAUUGCAGAGCUAUUGACUGUAUUCGCCCCUGUGUCUCACCUUCCCAUCUCCAAGAUUUCCUUGUCAAUUACCCAUAUUGGUGUCAGUUUAUCCACAUCCAUGCUUUCAAAUUUAAACAAAGAAACUAGGCAAAGGCAGCUCUGUAUUCACUAGGAUUAGGGAGGAGAAGAUAAUCAACCGCUGGUUAGUGAGAAGAAAGAGAGGUGGAGAAAGUGAGACACCCCAGUAACAGAGGCAUCUAAGAAUAGGGACAUAGUUAUAUGUAAAACAUGCAAUAAUUUUAUAUAUAUGUACAAAAGUGAUACACACAUAUGUACAUAAUUAAACAAAACACAAUUACUGUCUACAUUUCUUUGUCACCUAAUGUUUUAUGCUGUUUGUAACUGAAAAAAAAAAGUUCCCUUCUGAAUAAAAUGUCAAUUUUGUGAUUGCA
Non-coding RNA from Macaca mulatta (Rhesus monkey), 860 nucleotides. NCBI's taxonomy places the organism in Eukaryota, Metazoa, Chordata, Mammalia, Primates, Cercopithecidae. The record is from RefSeq and is a predicted model, not a curated record.